AAACAUGUCCUUUAGUUUUUAUUUAAGGUCUGGCCUGCUCAAUGAUUUUUUAAAUAGCCGCAGUAUUUUAACUGUGCUAAGGUAGCAUAAUAAUUAGUCUUUUAAUUGAGGUCUGGAAUGAAUGGUUGGACGAAAAAAACACUUUAUUGAUUUAAUUUUGUUGAAUUUAUUUUUAUAGUCAAAAUUCUAUAAUGUUUAAGAGGGACGAUAAGACCCUAUAGAUCUUUAUAACUUUAGUUUUUUUAGUAUUUUUUGUUGUUUUAUUUUUUUAUAAUUAAAUUUAUUUUGUUGGGGUGACAGCUAAAAAUUUUAACUUUAGUUUUUUUUUACAUUCAUAAAUGUUUAUUUUGAUCCUUAUUUUUGGAUUUUAAGAUUUAGAUACCUUAGGGAUAACAGCGUUAUAAAUUUGGAGAGUUCAAAUCGAUAAAUUUGUUUGCGACCUCGAUGUUGGAUUAAAGUUAAUCUAUGGGGUAGGUUUUAUGGAAUUAGGUCUGUUCGACCUUUAAAACU
This 510-nucleotide ribosomal RNA is filed under the name Latilica antalyica. RNAcentral's name for it is "partial large subunit ribosomal RNA". It matches the Rfam family "Bacterial large subunit ribosomal RNA", at positions 1811 to 2595 of the family's 2925-position model. Lineage: Eukaryota; Metazoa; Arthropoda; Insecta; Hemiptera; Issidae. The record is from RNAcentral.